Non-coding RNA from Plectropomus leopardus (leopard coralgrouper), 215 nucleotides. The record is from RefSeq and is a predicted model, not a curated record. NCBI's taxonomy places the organism in Eukaryota, Metazoa, Chordata, Actinopteri, Perciformes, Serranidae.
GACUCGCAGGCAGCGCUCUCUGUUGCUGAGUUAUGCCGAAGAGGAGACGGAUGUUCAGGGGACAGUCAACGGUGUCGAGCCUUCUGCAGGAGGGGGCAGCAGCACCAAGUCCACCAGCAGCUCAGAGGAGGGACAGGACAAACAGCAGCAGAAGGAAGAGGGAGGCUUCUUCUCUAAGCUUAAGAAAAUGUUUAGCUGACACUCAGGCUGCAGGU